AGCGUACACGGUGGAUGCCCUGGCAGUCAGAGGCGAUGAAGGACGUGCUAAUCUGCGAAAAGCGCCGGCGAGGUGAUAUGAACCUUUGACCCGGCGAUGUCCGAAUGGGGAAACCCAGUGUGUUUCGACACACUAUCGUUAACUGAAUACAUAGGUUAACGAGGCGAACCGGGGGAACUGAAACAUCUAAGUACCCCGAGGAAAAGAAAUCAACCGAGAUUCCCCCAGUAGCGGCGAGCGAACGGGGAGCAGCCCGGAGUCUGAAUCAGCUUGUGUGUUAGUGGAACGGUCUGGAAAGUCCGACGGUACAGGGUGAUAGUCCCGUACACGAAAAUGCACAGGUUGUGAACUCGAAGAGUAGGGCGGGACACGUGGUAUCCUGUCUGAAUAUGGGGGGACCAUCCUCCAAGGCUAAAUACUCCUGACUGACCGAUAGUGAACCAGUACCGUGAGGGAAAGGCGAAAAGAACCCCGGCGAGGGGAGUGAAAAAGAACCUGAAACCGUGUACGUACAAGCAGUGGGAGCCUACUUGUUAGGUGACUGCGUACCUUUUGUAUAAUGGGUCAGCGACUUAUAUUCUGUAGCAAGGUUAACCGUAUAGGGGAGCCGAAGGGAAACCGAGUCUUAACUGGGCGUUAAGUUGCAGGGUAUAGACCCGAAACCCGGUGAUCUAGCCAUGGGCAGGUUGAAGGUUGGGUAACACUAACUGGAGGACCGAACCGACUAAUGUUGAAAAAUUAGCGGAUGACCUGUGGCUGGGGGUGAAAGGCCAAUCAAACCGGGAGAUAGCUGGUUCUCCCCGAAAGCUAUUUAGGUAGCGCCUCGUGAAUUCAUCUUCGGGGGUAGAGCACUGUUUCGGCUAGGGGGCCAUCCCGGCUUACCAACCCGAUGCAAACUACGAAUACCGAAGAAUGUUAUCACGGGAGACACACGGCGGGUGCUAACGUCCGUCGUGAAGAGGGAAACAACCCAGACCGCCAGCUAAGGUCCCAAAGUCAUGGUUAAGUGGGAAACGAUGUGGGAAGGCACAGACAGCCAGGAUGUUGGCUUAGAAGCAGCCAUCAUUUAAAGAAAGCGUAAUAGCUCACUGGUCGAGUCGGCCUGCGCGGAAGAUGUAACGGGGCUAAACCAUGCACCGAAGCUGCGGCAGCGACGCUUAUGCGUUGUUGGGUAGGGGAGCGUUCUGUAAGCCGUUGAAGGUGGCCUGUGAGGGUUGCUGGAGGUAUCAGAAGUGCGAAUGCUGACAUAAGUAACGAUAAAGCGGGUGAAAAGCCCGCUCGCCGGAAGACCAAGGGUUCCUGUCCAACGUUAAUCGGGGCAGGGUGAGUCGACCCCUAAGGCGAGGCCGAAAGGCGUAGUCGAUGGGAAACAGGUUAAUAUUCCUGUACUUGGUGUUACUGCGAAGGGGGGACGGAGAAGGCUAUGUUAGCCGGGCGACGGUUGUCCCGGUUUAAGCAUGUAGGCGGAGGUUCCAGGUAAAUCCGGUACCUUUUAACGCUGAGGUGUGAUGACGAGGCACUACGGUGCUGAAGUAACAAAUGCCCUGCUUCCAGGAAAAGCCUCUAAGCAUCAGGUAACACGAAAUCGUACCCCAAACCGACACAGGUGGUCAGGUAGAGAAUACCAAGGCGCUUGAGAGAACUCGGGUGAAGGAACUAGGCAAAAUGGUGCCGUAACUUCGGGAGAAGGCACGCUGAUAUGUAGGUGAAGCCCCUGCGGGUGGAGCUGAAAUCAGUCGAAGAUACCAGCUGGCUGCAACUGUUUAUUAAAAACACAGCACUGUGCAAACACGAAAGUGGACGUAUACGGUGUGACGCCUGCCCGGUGCCGGAAGGUUAAUUGAUGGGGUUAGCGGCAACGCGAAGCUCUUGAUCGAAGCCCCGGUAAACGGCGGCCGUAACUAUAACGGUCCUAAGGUAGCGAAAUUCCUUGUCGGGUAAGUUCCGACCUGCACGAAUGGCGUAAUGAUGGCCAGGCUGUCUCCACCCGAGACUCAGUGAAAUUGAACUCGCUGUGAAGAUGCAGUGUACCCGCGGCAAGACGGAAAGACCCCGUGAACCUUUACUAUAGCUUGACACUGAACACUGGUCCUUGAUGUGUAGGAUAGGUGGGAGGCUUUGAAGCGUGGACGCCAGUCUGCGUGGAGCCGCCCUUGAAAUACCACCCUUUAAUGGCUGGUGUUCUAACGUAGACCCGUGAUCCGGGUUGCGGACAGUGUCUGGUGGGUAGUUUGACUGGGGCGGUCUCCUCCCAAAGAGUAACGGAGGAGCACGAAGGUUAGCUAAUCCUGGUCGGACAUCAGGAGGUUAGUGCAAUGGCAUAAGCUAGCUUGACUGCGAGAGUGACGGCUCGAGCAGGUGCGAAAGCAGGUCAUAGUGAUCCGGUGGUUCUGAAUGGAAGGGCCAUCGCUCAACGGAUAAAAGGUACUCCGGGGAUAACAGGCUGAUACCGCCCAAGAGUUCAUAUCGACGGCGGUGUUUGGCACCUCGAUGUCGGCUCAUCACAUCCUGGGGCUGAAGUAGGUCCCAAGGGUAUGGCUGUUCGCCAUUUAAAGUGGUACGCGAGCUGGGUUUAGAACGUCGUGAGACAGUUCGGUCCCUAUCUGCCGUGGGCGCUGGAGAAUUGAGGGGGGCUGCUCCUAGUACGAGAGGACCGGAGUGGACGCAUCACUGGUGUUCGGGUUGUCAUGCCAAUGGCACUGCCCGGUAGCUAAAUGCGGAAGAGAUAAGUGCUGAAAGCAUCUAAGCACGAAACUUGCCCCGAGAUGAGUUCU
RNAcentral lists this ribosomal RNA (2774 nucleotides) under Enterobacter kobei. RNAcentral's name for it is "bacterial LSU rRNA". It matches the Rfam family "Bacterial large subunit ribosomal RNA". Lineage: Bacteria; Pseudomonadati; Pseudomonadota; Gammaproteobacteria; Enterobacterales; Enterobacteriaceae. The record is from RNAcentral.